This 878-nucleotide long non-coding RNA is filed under the name Panax ginseng (ginseng). RNAcentral's name for it is "long non-coding RNA (PGIN_LNC015340)". The record is from RNAcentral. Lineage: Eukaryota; Viridiplantae; Streptophyta; Magnoliopsida; Apiales; Araliaceae.
AAAGGAAAAGGAUCAUGACCUAACAAUUAACAAAAAAAAUGUAAACAACCCAAACUAUUACCAUAAAAUUAAUAAUAUAAAAAAAACUCUACAAUUUGCCGUAUUUCAUUCAACGUCUGUAUUAUUUACAAGAAAAUGGAAAACAAUAAGAAUUGUUCCCCGAGAAGGAAAAAAAAUAGUGGUAUGUAGCCGAAAACUAAGAAAAGAAAGACAAAACACAAACAAUAGGAAUUUAAAAACAGAAACAAAUAAUGUUCUUGUCCAACAUUAUGGACAAAUAAUAAAAUGAGCAUGACCAUAAGUAUCCUCGCCUUCGUGUAGAAGCUUGACCCUGUUGUGGCAUGGAGAAGGGUCAGAAGGCGGCACCGGCCCUCUCGGAAGCUCGUUUUGGAUGGAGCUAUAGAACCCCAUCUCCUUAACCUUCAUCGCUCGCCCCAUUGCAGCCAUUUCUGCAAGUAGAAUAAAAAGAAGAAAUGCAACCCUUAUAAUAUUCUUGAUCAUCACAUUAAAGGACAUGGCUGCAACUAAACUCUAGCUAGUUUAAAUUUCUUUCUUCAAUUUCUUGGUGAUCGCGCGAUGGAUUCACUCCACCGUGUGGAUGGAACAAGUAUAUAUUUAUGUGUAGUGGUGAGGCAUGAAAAUUAAUGUACAGAAAAAUGAGAGUCCUAUAUAUAUAUAAAUAUAUAUAUAUAUAUAUAUAUAUAUAUAUAUAUAUAUAUAUAGAUAGAGAGAGAGAGAGAGAGAGAGAGAAAGGAGGCUAGGCGGGUAGCUGAAUUGGUAUGGCGCUUGUAAUAGGAGAGGAAUGAAUAUAUUCAAUAUGGUUUUCAACGCACCAAACUAGUGGGAUUUUGUUAAGGGUGAGUUUGUGUGCAUUGGCC